CCUGAGGUGACUCAGUUUUUUCGGGCAUCCACGUCGUGGAUCCUUGGUGAUGGUAACACCUGCCGCUUCUGGUUGGACCCGUGGUUGGACGGUCUUUCCCCCCUCGACAGCGCCCCUUCCUUGGUGGCGCUGGUUCCUCGCCGUGUUCGGCGCUCGCGUACGGUGGCCCAGGCGCUUUCCGACCGUUGCUGGAUCUCUGACAUCCGAGGCCCCCUCGGUCCCGCGGCCGCGGUUGAAUAUGUGGAGCUCUGGCGCCGCCUCCAGACUGUCGAGCUUGUCCCGCGCCCGGACCUGCUUCGCUGGCGCUGGACUGCCAAUGGCGUCUACUCUGCUUCCUCAUGCUACAUCGCCCUAUUUCAUGGAUCCACGGCCUCCGAGUUUUGGCGCCUCACCUAG
RNAcentral lists this ribosomal RNA (396 nucleotides) under Triticum aestivum (bread wheat). Its description in RNAcentral is "partial small subunit ribosomal RNA". Lineage: Eukaryota; Viridiplantae; Streptophyta; Magnoliopsida; Poales; Poaceae. The record is from RNAcentral.